UGUGAUUUGUUCUGUCAGCUGGUGACAAAGCUUUAUUGGUGAAUAAAAUGUAAACUGUUUAAAAUCACAGUAUAUAUUUUUUUAAGCUAAAGAUUGCAGCAAUUGAACCCUUAUGAUUCUAAUUCCAAUAUUUAAACUAAUUCCACAUUCUCU
Oxyura jamaicensis (ruddy duck) is the source of this 153-nucleotide long non-coding RNA. RefSeq lists it as uncharacterized. NCBI's taxonomy places the organism in Eukaryota, Metazoa, Chordata, Aves, Anseriformes, Anatidae. The transcript has 3 exons. The record is from RefSeq and is a predicted model, not a curated record.